RNAcentral lists this ribosomal RNA (383 nucleotides) under uncultured prokaryote. RNAcentral describes it as "partial 16S ribosomal RNA". It matches the Rfam family "Archaeal small subunit ribosomal RNA", at positions 339 to 727 of the family's 1478-position model. RNAcentral also lists the same sequence under 1 other name. The record is from RNAcentral.
GCGCGAAACGUCCCCAAUGCGGGAAACCGUGAGGGCGCUACCCCCAGUGCCUCCGUUUGGAGGCUUUUCCCCGCUCCAAAAAGGCGGGGGAAUAAGCGGGGGGCAAGACUGGUGUCAGCCGCCGCGGUAAUACCAGCCCCGCGAGUGAUCCGGACGUUUACUGGGCUUAAAGCGCCCGUAGCCGGCCCUGCAAGUCACCCCUUAAAGACCCCGGCUCAACCGGGGGAAUGGGGGUGAUACUGUAGGGCUAGGGGGCGGGAGAGGCCGGCGGUACUCCCGGAGUAGGGGCGAAAUCCGUAGAUCCCGGGAGGACCACCAGUGGCGAAAGCGGCCGGCUAGAACGCGCCCGACGGUGAGGGGCGAAAGCCGGGGUAGCAAAAGGG